Molecule: ribosomal RNA, 429 nt
Filed under: uncultured bacterium
Lineage: Bacteria
Description: bacterial SSU rRNA
Rfam family: Bacterial small subunit ribosomal RNA
Source: RNAcentral
GAUGAACGCUAGCGGCAGGCUUAACACAUGCAAGUCGAGGGGCAGCAUGAAGGUUAGCAAUAACCUUUGAUGGCGACCGGCGCAAGGGUGCGUAACGCGUGAGCAACUUGCCCGUUUCAGGGGGAUAACCGGUGGAAACGCCGACUAAUACCCCAUAGUAUAAUCUUAAGGCAUCUCAAUCUGAUUAAAGAAAUUCGGAAACGGAUAGGCUCGCGUGACAUUAGCUUGAUGGCGGGUAACGGCCCACCAUGGCUACGAUGUCUAGGGGUUCUGAGAGGAAGGUCCCCCANACUGGAACUGACGACACGGUCCAGACUCCUACGGGAGGCAGCAGUGAGGAAUAUUGGUCAAUGGUCGGAAGACUGAACCAGCCAAGUAGCGUGAAGGAUGACUGCCCUACGGGUUGUAAACUUCUUUGUUGGAAUAAAG